This is a long non-coding RNA of Mercenaria mercenaria, 3532 nucleotides long. RefSeq lists it as uncharacterized. The record is from RefSeq and is a predicted model, not a curated record. Lineage: Eukaryota; Metazoa; Mollusca; Bivalvia; Venerida; Veneridae. The transcript is spliced from 3 exons.
UCCGGUGUACGCAUCAUCACCGUGAUUCAGCUUUGUUAAAAACUUUGUUAAGCUAUUUUUUUCAGGAUUUUUGGGGGUUAAGUUUUGUGAUAUAGAUACAGAUAUUGAUUUUCAUUUCAGACUGCAGAUUUGACUUUCUGCUUCAUGUGUAUGUCUGCCAUGAACGGCAGCGUCAGCUUCAGCAACUGGAAAGAUGCCUCAAAGAAAUCAAAGAAGCACAAGCUGCAACUACUGGCUCUUAGACCAGUAGCCUACUCUGUGCUUCAGUCGGUAAGUGAUGUGUCGUAUGAAAUUUCCAAAGACUCGGAAUACGUGCGUGAAUUAUCGUCGUGAAGAGCCAUAGUGACAUAUUAAUUGCUACAUUUAACUUGUGAUAUCUAUAUCGGUUACGUGAUCAAGCGAAGUAGUGGUGAUCUAUGUAAGACUAUUAUGUAUAGCCAAAUGUACUACGAUACACUUAACAUCGCUGUCACUCUGUAUAUCGUCAAAAGAUGCGACCAGUCGCAGUUACAAAAUCUACCACCACUUUCAGGACUUGCUUCUCCACAGUAUCACAACAGACAACACUGCAUCCGAAGACUGUUGUAUAUGUUGUUUAAAGUAUCAAAUGGGUAACAGAAUAUGCUCAAACCGAAAAACAAGACAUUGCCCCUAGCGAAGACGAAAUCUAGAAUAUCUUGCGUUCACUGUGGCCAAGACAAUCAUGACUGUAUGAAUGUCGACUGAAGGACGCAAUAUGUCAUUUUUUUUUCAGUCUAAAGGUCACAUUCAGACACUAUGUCGUAAAGCAAAGAACGCUAGUUACGUCGACACGGUAGAAAAUGAGCAUGAGGAGCAAAAGGGUAUUACAUAUGUGAACUUUAAUUUAAACAUCGUCAAAAUCAACGGAAAAUUCUUAUUUCUCCUAUGAUUGACGGCACGGAAGUGCAAAUGCAUAUUGACACCGGAUCCGCCUCAAACUCAUGCCUGGAAAUACAUCCAAAUGUGCAAUUAAAGGCACCUGGUGCAGUUUUAAAACUAAUUCAGGUGAUGGUUGUUAAAGGAAGCGUUCCAACAUUAAUUGACCAGCACUGGCUAUAAGUUGCAUCAAACUGGACUGUCUACAGUAACAUUUUGCAAGUGAAUGAUGCUAACAACGUAUUAAGGACAAACUCGCAAAAGACGAAAGCAUAUUCUAUGACGAAAUUGGCACGUGAAGGUCAUGAAGGCCAAGUCUAUUUCUAAGGACGGCGCUAUGUCCAAAUUUAUGUAGGCAAGGUCAGUAGCAUAUUCAUUAUCUUGAUUACGAGCUCAAUUUCUAAAAGUAGGACUUGGAUAAAACUUCUACGCAGCUUGAAUCUUUGCGGACACUUGUUAGAAGCAAAUGUGAAAGCACUGCAUCAGUGACAAUUAGUUAUGUUGUGCAGUUGUUUAAGGACAUAAAACCGAACUGUAAUGUGAUAUUCUCGGAUAUAGUGGUGGUUGACCUUAAUCUCAGUCUUGUAACGCUACGUACGUUACGAACCGUUUCACAAACUGAAGUCUUCUCUGCGUAGUGCAGUGACACAGCUUCACCUCAUGAUGUUGCACGUGCACCAGGUGACACGACCCCGACAACAAUUGUCAUUUAAUUUAUUGAUAUUCACUUGAGUCGAUUUUAGUUCCUUUUGGAAGUGUAACUGGCAGAACGAUCCUCGGCGUCUAAAAUCUUAGGUUUUAUAACAAAUAAUUACUGCGAACUUCAGUUGUAGUCAGUUAAGUUUAAGUGUACUAAUGCGUUUUAAAUGAAUAUGAUAUCAUCCUGGCUACAGAUAAAUAUAACUUGACUAUUUAUAGUAGAUACAUACUUGAAUGAAACAAGUAUUAAAUAUGUAUUGUAUUAAAAUGCAUGAAAAUGAAUAUGAAGUGGUAGCUAUAUGCGUGUUAUUUUCUUCUCAUAUGUUUGUGUUAAUAUACUGUUUGUGUACCCAGGGCAAACUCUCAUCUUAUCCUUUUACUUGUCCAAUUAGUUGGCCAAGAACAUUUUUCAUAUUCUGGGUAAAUACAUAAACAAAUAAUACAUUAAAAAAUAAAGGAAUGCCCGUCUAUCAAAUGGGUUGGACCUGUAACAAUGCUACUAUGAUAAAAUUUUAUAUUUCAGCAAUCUUUUCUUUAUAUUUACGUGUAGUCUAGUACAUCACAUAUCUAUAUUCUCUUAGUCUGAUUGAUUAACUUCCGUGGCGCUAUCACGUUUUCACAUUGGUGGGUACAGUGCAAUAUAUAAGUUAAAAAAUACAAGUAACUUGCGUACACAUUUGUUGGAUAGAACAUAUAUUAUAUUUCAAUGUUGUUAUGGCAACAAAAGAAUGAUUACGAUCAUUUGAGUUCCUUUGAAAUCCCAUUGAAAACAUUACAAAAGUUUCAUUUACUUUUUGUCAAGCUUUAUUAAACGUGGUGGACGAAUAGCUCAGUGGUCGGGGGUUCGAUCCCCGGCAGCUUCUCGGAGUGUUACCCACCCAACUAGAGGUGUACUGGUCAGGAACCCAGGCAAUCCUUGCGUGUAUCAGUGCUAUACACUGGGCACGUUAAAGAACCAGGCUGUCUAUUCGCAACGAGCUAGGCUAAGUUAGCCGGACAAGCCUGUAUCUGAUUUCUGAUCUCUCUGUCGUGGGGGCUUUGUCUCACUCUGUCCCUCUGGUCAGAUCGCUCUGUGUCUGUACUAGUAGAGGAUGAAUUAUGCGCCCUGUGUGGCUGCAUUUGAACUAUGUAAAGCGCCUUUGAACGUGAAAUUGAUCAUGAAAAGGGCGCUGUAUAAAUCUGGUAUAAUAAUAAUAAUAAUUAAUUAUGUUGUUUUCAUGAUUAUACAUGUAAAUGUAUCAAAGGUAAGAACAUGUUAGCUUUCAUUUAUAUAGCAAUGUCUAUUUACACUGAUGUAAUGACUGUCAGAGAAUUUAACAGUGAUCACGUGUAACUGUCAUUUUUUAUGACAGAACGUAUCCGACAACUUCUCUAUAUAAUUAUAACAGUCCUACUGUUUAGUUCUAGUUUUAAACGUGUUAAACAGUAGGAAAGAAAGAAUUAUGGGUACCCAGGUAGCCGCGGGUAAUACAGCAACCGGUAGCUUUUAAAAAAAUGCUACCCUUAUCCUAGCGGUAUCUACUGGCCUUUAUAUCCCAGUUAGGUAAUUAAAAUACUCAAUCAUAAACGUAGUUAGUUUUUGUAAUAAUUAAUAAAAGAAAACACGAUACGAGACAAUCCAAUGCGACCUCUAUGAACUAAUCUUUUUAUAUAACCGGGAAGCAGCUAUCGAAUUACAAAAAGUUAAAGUCGUUCUUUCAGAUACAGAUAUAUACGACAUAUUUUUGAUGGCAAAAUCAAUAUAACUAUAAGUUACAAUUAUGUGUAUCAUUAUGACAUUUUUAACAUUUUAAUAGAGUGAAAAAAAUGCAACAUGACCAACGUGAAAUAAGGCAUACUUUUUAAGUUCUAAAAGGUGAAGGCGUUAAACGUUGGAUAUGCACAGAAGAACGUGAGAAAGAAAAAGAGAAAAUGGCAAAAGGCUCAGAUGAUAAAG